AGAACGAACGCUGGCGGCAUGCCUAACACAUGCAAGUCGAACGAGACCUUCGGGUCUAGUGGCGCACGGGUGCGUAACGCGUGGGAAUCUGCCCUUGGGUUCGGAAUAACAGCGAGAAAUUGCUGCUAAUACCGGAUGAUGACGUAAGUCCAAAGAUUUAUCGCCCAAGGAUGAGCCCGCGUAGGAUUAGCUUGUUGGUGAGGUAAGAGCUCACCAAGGCGACGAUCCUUAGCUGGUCUGAGAGGAUGAUCAGCCACGCUGGGACUGAGACACGGCCCAGACUCCUACGGGAGGCAG
Molecule: ribosomal RNA, 297 nt
Filed under: uncultured soil bacterium
Lineage: Bacteria
Description: partial 16S ribosomal RNA
Rfam family: Bacterial small subunit ribosomal RNA
Source: RNAcentral